GGGUCUGUCCAUUGGUCGGGCUUUACGGUCCGUACUGGUGAGAUGGGUUCCUACCUUCUGAAUAACCAGCAUGCCAUUCAGUUGGUGCGUUGGGGAAGCAGAGCUAUUACCUUGAAAAAAUUAGAGUGUUUAAAGCAGGCUCACGCUUGAAUACAUUAGCAUGGAAUAAUAGAAUAGGAC
Molecule: ribosomal RNA, 180 nt
Filed under: uncultured Glomeromycotina
Lineage: Eukaryota; Fungi; Glomeromycota
Description: partial small subunit ribosomal RNA
Rfam family: Eukaryotic small subunit ribosomal RNA (bases 90-180)
Source: RNAcentral